This 500-nucleotide ribosomal RNA is filed under the name uncultured bacterium. RNAcentral describes it as "partial 16S ribosomal RNA". It matches the Rfam family "Bacterial small subunit ribosomal RNA", at positions 30 to 523 of the family's 1533-position model. The record is from RNAcentral.
AUUGAACGCUGGCGGCAGGCCUAACACAUGCAAGUCGAGCGGAUGACGGGAGCUUGCUCCUCGAUUCAGCGGCGGACGGGUGAGUAAUGCCUAGGAAUCUGCCUGGUAGUGGGGGACAACGUUUCGAAAGGAACGCUAAUACCGCAUACGUCCUACGGGAGAAAGUGGGGGAUCUUCGGACCUCACGCUAUCAGAAGAGCCUAGGUCGGAUUAGCUAGUUGGUGAGGUAAAGGCUCACCAAGGCGACGAUCCGUAACUGGUCUGAGAGGAUGAUCAGUCACACUGGAACUGAGACACGGUCCAGACUCCUACGGGAGGCAGCAGUGGGGAAUAUUGGACAAUGGGCGAAAGCCUGAUCCAGCCAUGCCGCGUGUGUGAAGAAGGUCUUCGGAUUGUAAAGCACUUUAAGUUGGGAGGAAGGGCUGUAGGCUAAUAUCCUGCAGUUUUGACGUUACCGACAGAAUAAGCACCGGCUAACUUCGUGCCAGCAGCCGCGGUAA